RNAcentral lists this ribosomal RNA (534 nucleotides) under Escherichia coli. Its description in RNAcentral is "partial 23S ribosomal RNA". It matches the Rfam family "Bacterial large subunit ribosomal RNA", at positions 950 to 1486 of the family's 2925-position model. Lineage: Bacteria; Pseudomonadati; Pseudomonadota; Gammaproteobacteria; Enterobacterales; Enterobacteriaceae. The record is from RNAcentral.
CAAACUGCGAAUACCGGAGAAUGUUAUCACGGGAGACACACGGCGGGUGCUAACGUCCGUCGUGAAGAGGGAAACAACCCAGACCGCCAGCUAAGGUCCCAAAGUCAUGGUUAAGUGGGAAACGAUGUGGGAAGGCCCAGACAGCCAGGAUGUUGGCUUAGAAGCAGCCAUCAUUUAAAGAAAGCGUAAUAGCUCACUGGUCGAGUCGGCCUGCGCGGAAGAUGUAACGGGGCUAAACCAUGCACCGAAGCUGCGGCAGCGACGCUUAUGCGUUGUUGGGUAGGGGAGCGUUCUGUAAGCCUGUGAAGGUGUGCUGUGAGGCAUGCUGGAGGUAUCAGAAGUGCGAAUGCUGACAUAAGUAACGAUAAAGCGGGUGAAAAGCCCGCUCGCCGGAAGACCAAGGGUUCCUGUCCAACGUUAAUCGGGGCAGGGUGAGUCGACCCCUAAGGCGAGGCCGAAAGGCGUAGUCGAUGGGAAACAGGUUAAUAUUCCUGUACUUGGUGUUACUGCGAAGGGGGGACGGAGAAGGCUAUG